UCAUCUACCAAGUCAGACAGCAUUUGCAAUUUUUCACAUCUGGAGUCCCUGACCUCUGAAAAAGAGGAAGGUGAUUUCGUUUUCUCAUCUCCUCUUUGCAAUUCACAUUUGGUCAUUACAAUUACAUGGUGUUCACAGCUAUGUUAAGUUUUUUGACUCUUCUUUCCAUUCACAUGGCUGAAGUCAUUGGGUUUAUUAUUUUCCUGGUUCUUUAUUUUUAAUCGACUAGACUUUUAUAAUUGGACAAUUCUCUCAGGAAUGGUACUAAUUACCUGAAGAGAGGCAAUGUGGCCUAAUCCAAGGGGCACUGGAUUUUUGUUUAAGGGAACUGAGUUUAUAUUCCAGCUUAGUUCCUCACUAUGUAUGUAUCUAUGAGUAAGUCAUUUCAUCUCCAGAGUUCUCUGUUUCUUCAUCAAUAAUUUGAAAAGCAUUUAUGAAGGGCUUACUGUACUCCAGGCACUGCGGAGAGAUGCAAAGAAAAGGAAAUUGGACCAGAUGACAUCUUCCAUGCCAAGAUUUCAUAUGGAGGAAGAGGAGAUUGGAACAGGCUUGGGGGUAAAGUGGAACCUCGGAAAUUCUUUGGGAGAGUUGGGAAUGCUGAACAGACAAAAGGAGAAGGUUUCAAAACUGCAGGGGAUUUUUCAAGAUAUUUUUUUCUCUUCUGUUACAGUAAGAAAAGGGUACGUAUGAUCUUUUGUGUAUUUCUACAACGUUGGAUUGAAAAGUUUCAACCAUAAACCAGCCUUAAAUACCGUCACUAUUUUUUUCUCCAUUGCUGCUGUCCUGGCAAAAUUUAAGCACGACCAUAUACUAUUUAUAGAUUUGAUCAAUUCAAUUCAAAAAGCAAUUCAGUUCUACUGCGUGCCAGUCACCAAAUGCCACUCUUCCUCACACCCACCUCUUACAAUCAUUAAUUUCCUUCAAGACUCAUGUCAAAUACUAUCCUCUCUAGGUACAGCUUCCAAAUAAUUUUUUUUUCCAUUGACUUUUGAGCCAGGUCAGCUAACUGGAUCUUCCUUUCUGAUCCAAAUAAUCUUUUUGUAACAACAGAGGGC
RNAcentral lists this long non-coding RNA (1055 nucleotides) under Phascolarctos cinereus (koala). RNAcentral's name for it is "lncRNA (ENSPCIG00000036395.1)". The record is from RNAcentral. Lineage: Eukaryota; Metazoa; Chordata; Mammalia; Diprotodontia; Phascolarctidae.